Molecule: ribosomal RNA, 201 nt
Filed under: uncultured bacterium
Lineage: Bacteria
Description: partial 16S ribosomal RNA
Rfam family: Bacterial small subunit ribosomal RNA
Source: RNAcentral
UACGUAGGGUGCAAGCGUUAAUCGGAAUUACUGGGCGUAAAGCGUGCGCAGGCGGUUUUGUAAGUUUGUCGUGAAAGCCCCGGGCUCAACCUGGGAAUGGCGAUGAAGACUGCAAGGCUUGAAUCUGGCAGAGGGGGGUAGAAUUCCACGUGUAGCAGUGAAAUGCGUAGAGAUGUGGAGGAACACCGAUGGCGAAGGCAG